CCUACGGGAGGCAGCAGUGGGGAAUAUUGCACAAUGGGCGAAAGCCUGAUGCAGCAACGCCGCGUGAAGGAAGAAGGCUUUCGAGUCGUAAACUUCUGUCCAAAGGGAAGAAUAAUGACGGUACCUUUGAAGGAAGCCCCGGCUAACUACGUGCCAGCAGCCGCGGUAAUACGUAGGGGGCGAGCGUUAUCCGGAAUUACUGGGCGUAAAGAGUAUGUAGGUGGUUAAGUAAGCGUAGGGUUUAAGGCGACAGCCCAACUGUCGUAUGCCCCGCGAACUGUUUAACUUGAGUACAGGAGGGGAAGGCGGAAUUCCUAGUGUAGCGGUGAAAUGCGUAGAUAUUAGGAGGAACACCAGUGGCGAAGGCGGCCUUCUGGACUGUAACUGACACUGAGAUACGAAAGCGUGGGUAGCAAACAGGAUUAGAUACCCUAGUAGUC
RNAcentral lists this ribosomal RNA (440 nucleotides) under uncultured Eubacteriales bacterium. Its description in RNAcentral is "bacterial SSU rRNA". It matches the Rfam family "Bacterial small subunit ribosomal RNA", at positions 338 to 795 of the family's 1533-position model. Lineage: Bacteria; Bacillati; Bacillota; Clostridia; Eubacteriales. The record is from RNAcentral.